Molecule: ribosomal RNA, 150 nt
Filed under: uncultured bacterium
Lineage: Bacteria
Description: partial 16S ribosomal RNA
Source: RNAcentral
GCACGGAGUUAGCCGAUGCUGAUUCCUCUGGUACCGUCAGGUUGCUUUCACAACUUUCUUCCCAGAGAAAAGGGGUUUACAACCCAAGAGCCUUCUUCCCCCACGCGGUCUUGCUCCGUCAGGCUUUCGCCCAUUGCGGAAAAUUCCCCA